Molecule: long non-coding RNA, 1394 nt
Filed under: Vulpes vulpes (red fox)
Lineage: Eukaryota; Metazoa; Chordata; Mammalia; Carnivora; Canidae
Description: lncRNA (ENSVVUG00000006863.1)
Source: RNAcentral
GCUAAAAUGGAACUCUGCACAAAGCUGAAAGAGGAGUUUGUAGUACAGAGUCUCCAUUUGCUCUAAGGAAUCUGGACAGUCUCUUAGAAGAGGUAGCAUUUAAGAGGCAGGAAGAUGCCUAAGAAUUUGCAAAUACAAGACCAGGGGAGAGGCAUUCUAGCAUAUAUAAAGGCAUGAAACAUGAAUGUGCUCAGCAUGUGUAGAAUGAUUGAGGCAUGAGCAACUCUACUGAAAGGAAACAAGGCCAACCCCUCAGGCCUACCGCCAGCAAGGACCUCACUUGCUCAAUGCUUCCCCACAAUUUGGACUGAGAGAGCCCUCCUGCAGAAAUUAUGAUGUUCUCGGGAGAGAAAUGAUUGGUUUUCAGUUACACACUGCUACAGGUGGAAGUCAUCAGAAAACUGUAAUGCCAGCAUAUGGAUAACCUGCAAGGCAGCAUAACGGUAUCUUUUCAAGGAGCCAGAUUUGAAAGCUAAUGAUCUCAGUCUCAUAACCAGCCUCCCCAUCAGUCUCCACUGGGACGUAUGGCAAAGCAAACAGACCGACAAACCAAAAUAAUGAAGCUGCAUCUGCCACAAGAGGAAGAACCCGGAAGAUCAGUGUUAGAGGUUACUGAGAUCCUCCUAAGUCAUCUCCCAGUUUCCAAAGCAGUUUGCACACAUGACUUUAUCCUGCGUCACAUCAAGCCUGUGAUACAGAUGGAGCAGGGUCACCACCCUCAUUCUUGAUCACCUGAUCACCUUUUGCUCAGAGAGGAUGCAAAAUCCCAGACCCAGUGCUCAAGGAACAGGAUGGAUCUGUACAAUGUUUCUGACCACAGCAUGCACGUGGGAAGGGCCACACCACACUCCACAUGGUGUGGUAGGUAGACAGAGCAGGAGCCCUUGGAACUGCUGGUCCAAUUACCAGCUCGGGAGGUAAGUAGAGCUGCUUCCAGAAAAGGAGAAAUCCUUUAAAUCCUGUUCUACUCUCAACUCAUUCUACAAAUGUUUCUUGCAGGCCUCGUUUGGUCCUACCCUUAAGGGAAGUGGAGACCCCAUCCUUCUCUAAACAUGUACCGCUUCCCUCUGCUUACAUGGAGGAAAAGUAAGAAGCACGAGUUCUUGUUGUGACUGCUUUUUGUAAUCAACAAACAUUUUUUUUUAAUUUCUUACUUUACAUCAUAAGCUUUUCUCAACAGCCUUGACAAGAAUUCUAAAUCCUGUGCUCUUGAGUUUCAGAAAGUUUCUCUAACUUUGACUUAACUGAUGUCUAAAGAAUAAGACAAAGAUGUCCAUGAUGUACUUGGUGGUUGAUAUUUCAGAUCCUGAAAUUUAUUAUGUGGAGAAAAUAGACAUUCUCCUUCCCUAUUAAAACCCUAAAUUCCAUGUUAUAAAAUAGAAAACAAGGGUUUU